UACUACGCGGAGCUCGCGGUCCUCCUGGA
This 29-nucleotide small RNA is filed under the name Bombyx mori (domestic silkworm). Its description in RNAcentral is "piRNA piR-bmo-1895592". The record is from RNAcentral. Lineage: Eukaryota; Metazoa; Arthropoda; Insecta; Lepidoptera; Bombycidae.